GAGUUUGAUCCUGGCUCAGGACGAACGCUGGCGGCACGCCUAACACAUGCAAGUCGAACGGAGAUAUUUUGGUUUACUGAGAUAUCUUAGUGGCGGACGGGUGAGUAACACGUGAGCAACCUGCCUCUGAGAGAGGGAUAGCUUCUGGAAACGGAUGGUAAUACCUCAUAACAUAACGAAGCCGCAUGACUUUGUUAUCAAAGAUUUAUCACUCAGAGAUGGGCUCGCGUCUGAUUAGAUAGUUGGUGAGGUAACGGCCCACCAAGUCGACGAUCAGUAGCCGGACUGAGAGGUUGAACGGCCACAUUGGGACUGAGACACGGCCCAGACUCCUACGGGAGGCAGCAGUGGGGAAUAUUGCACAAUGGGGGAAACCCUGAUGCAGCGAUGCCGCGUGGAGGAAGAAGGUUUUCGGAUUGUAAACUCCUGUCUUAAAGGACGAUAAUGACGGUACUUUAGGAGGAAGCUCCGGCUAACUACGUGCCAGCAGCCGCGGUAAUACGUAGGGAGCGAGCGUUGUCCGGAAUUACUGGGUGUAAAGGGAGCGUAGGCGGGAUGGCAAGUCAGAUGUGAAAACUAUGGGCUCAACCCAUAGACUGCAUUUGAAACUGUUGUUCUUGAGUGAAGUAGAGGUAAGCGGAAUUCCUGGUGUAGCGGUGAAAUGCGUAGAUAUCAGGAGGAACAUCGGUGGCGAGGCGGGCUUACUGGGCUUUUACUGAYGCUGAGGCUCGAAAGCGUGGGGAAGCGAACAGGAUUAGAUACCCUGGUAGUCCACGCUGUAAACGAUGAAUUACUAAGUGGGGGGGACUGAMCCCCUYCCKKGCG
This 825-nucleotide ribosomal RNA is filed under the name uncultured Bacillota bacterium. Its description in RNAcentral is "bacterial SSU rRNA". The record is from RNAcentral. Lineage: Bacteria; Bacillati; Bacillota.